UUUUUUUACAGUAAGAACUAGAAGGAUAUGGAAUUCUCUGCCUGAAGAGGUGGUUUUAUCAGAGUCCAUACAGAUGUUUAAACAGCAAUUGGAUAAAUACUUCCAAAAACAUCACAUACAGGGAUAUCAUUUCUAAUUAUUGUGGUAAUAACUGCUUGAUCCAAGGAGACAUCUGACUGCCAUUUUGGGUUCAAGUAAUACAAAC
This is a non-coding RNA of Pelobates cultripes (western spadefoot toad), 205 nucleotides long. NCBI's taxonomy places the organism in Eukaryota, Metazoa, Chordata, Amphibia, Anura, Pelobatidae. The record is from the annotation of a GenBank genome assembly.